AUGUCAUCGGCCGCUGGCGGGUACGGGGGCGGCGCCGAGCACCAGCAUCAGCAUCAGCAUCAGCAGCACCACCAGCACCAGCUGCUGCUGGGCCAGGCCGCGGCGGGCCAGCUCUACCACGUGCCGCAGCACAGCCGCCGCGAGAAGCUGCGGUUCCCGCCGGACCCGGCGGACUCCUCCUCGCCCACGCCGGGCGCCUGGCCGCCGCCCACGGUGCCCUUCUACUCCUACGCGUCCUCCUCCUCCUCCUACUCGCCGCACAGCCCCACGCUGGCGCACGCCCACAACCAGCUCCUGGUCCACGGGAUGCCGGCAGGAGCCCAGAUCCCGAGCCAGAACUUCGCGCUCUCGCUGUCCUCGUCCUCCUCGAACCCUCCGCCUCAGCAGCGGAGGCACCUCGCCGGUGCCACCGGGCCGUACGGGCCCUUCACGGGCUACGCAGCCGUGCUCGGGCGCUCUAGGUUCCUGGGCCCCGCGCAGAAGCUGCUGGAGGAGAUCUGCGACGUCGGCGGCCGGCCCUCGCAGCUGGACCGCUGCUCCGACGACGGGUUGCUCGACUUGGAUGCCAUGGACGCCGCGGGCGACGUCGGCCACGAGAUGGACAGCAGCGACCGCGCUGCCGCUGAGGGCGUCACGGUCUCCGGCGCCGAGCAACAGUGGAGGAAGACUAGGCUCAUCUCCCUCAUGGAAGAAGUUUGCAAGCGAUACAGGCAAUACUACCAGCAGCUCCAAGCUGUGAUCUCCUCGUUUGAAACCGUCGCCGGGCUGAGCAACGCCGCCCCCUUUGCCUCCAUCGCUCUCCGGACGAUGUCGAAGCAUUUCAAGUACCUAAAGAGCACCAUACAGAGCCAGCUGCGCAACACCAGCAAGGUGGCCGCCGGGAAAGACAGCCUCGGCAAGGAAGACAUGGCCAACUUCGGGCUCAUGGGCGGCAGCGCCGCCCUCAUGAGGGGAGGCAACGCGAACGCGUUCAGCCAGCCCCACAACAUUUGGCGGCCACAGAGGGGACUCCCAGAGCGCGCAGUGUCGGUUCUUCGCGCCUGGCUGUUCGAGCACUUCUUGCAUCCGUACCCAACUGAUAGCGACAAGCAAAUGUUGGCUAAACAAACAGGCUUAACGAGGAAUCAGGUCUCAAACUGGUUCAUCAACGCAAGGGUUAGACUCUGGAAGCCAAUGGUGGAAGAAAUCCACAACCUGGAGAUGCGGCAGGGGCAUAAGAGCUCGGCCGCCGACAAGAAUCAGCUCGGCGUGCAGCAGCAAACCCAGCAGCAUUCGCCGGACAGCAGCGGGAGGCCCUCCGAUCCUUCGAACUCACACCAAGGGCAAAGCAGCAGCAUGUCACAGAACCGCAGCGCCCACGCUGCACAUCGGCACAUCCAGAGCGAGCUCUCCCCGAUGACCCACGACAUGCCGGGACAGGUGAGCUUCGCGUACAACGGCAGCGGGAUGGCCGCGCACCACCAGCACCACCACGGCAUUGCACUGUCGCAUCCCCAUCAGCAGGUCGAAGGCGCGAGCGGCGCCGGGAGCAGCGGCGGCGUCUCCCUCACCCUCGGCCUCCACCAGAACAACCGGGCCUACAUCGCCGAGCCCCUCCCGGCGGCGCUCCCGCUCAACCUCGCGCACCGGUUCGGGCUGGAGGACGUCAGCGACGCCUACGCGAUGGCGGCCUCGUUCGGAGGCCAGGACCGGCACUUCACCAAGGAAAUGGGCGGCCAUCUGCUCCAUGACUUCGUUGGGUGA
This 1743-nucleotide ribosomal RNA is filed under the name Triticum aestivum (bread wheat). RNAcentral describes it as "partial small subunit ribosomal RNA". Lineage: Eukaryota; Viridiplantae; Streptophyta; Magnoliopsida; Poales; Poaceae. The record is from RNAcentral.